GCGUACAAAACCUACCUUUGACUGGGGGAAAGUCGCUGGAAACGGCGAAUAAUCCCGCAUAAGACUACAGUAUCACAUGAUACAGGAGUAAAAGGCCUUCGGUUGGUAGAAGAUGGUUGUGCGUCCCAUUAGCUAGAUGGUAAGGUAACGGCUUACCAUGGCGACGAUGGGUAGGGGGCGUGAGAGCGUGGACCCCCACACGGGUACUGAGACACGGACCCGACUCCUACGGGAGGCAGCAGUAAGGAAUAUUGGUCAAUGGAGGAAACUCUGAACCAGCCAUGCCGCGUGUGUGAUGAA
Molecule: ribosomal RNA, 300 nt
Filed under: uncultured Saprospira sp.
Lineage: Bacteria; Pseudomonadati; Bacteroidota; Saprospiria; Saprospirales; Saprospiraceae
Description: bacterial SSU rRNA
Rfam family: Bacterial small subunit ribosomal RNA
Source: RNAcentral